This 1973-nucleotide long non-coding RNA is filed under the name Homo sapiens (human). RNAcentral describes it as "HSALNT0358303". Lineage: Eukaryota; Metazoa; Chordata; Mammalia; Primates; Hominidae. The record is from RNAcentral.
AUCCCAUGUUUAAUCUUCAGAAGGUGUGUGAGGAAUAACAUGUUUGCUUUUGAAAGAUGCCUUGUAGACUGUGCGCAGUGGCUCAUGCCUGUAAUCCCAGCACUUUGGGAGGCUGAGGAGAGCGGAUCACCUGAGGUCAGGAGUUUGAAACCAGCCUGGUCAACAUGGUGAAACGCCAUCUCUAUUAAAAAUACAAAACUUAGCCAGGCGUUGUGGCGGGCACCUGUAAUCCCAGCUACUAAGGAGGCUGAGGUAGAAGAAUUGCUUGAACCUGGGAGGCAGAGGCUGCAGUGAGCUGAGAUCAUGCCACUGCACUCCAGCCUGGGCAACAGAGCAAGACUCCAUCUCAAAAAAAAAAAAAAAGAUGCCUUGUCUUCAAGCAAACUAUUAUUAAGGAUGAGUUGCUUAUUUGUAUUAAAAAGAGGGCUCAAACUGUCUUCCUGCCUCAUCCUCCCAAUUAGCUGGGAUUUCAAGUGCAUGCCAACCCACACAGCCUUUUCUUUUUCAUUUUCCUUUCUUUUUUUUUUUUGAGGCAGGAUCUUGCUGUGUUGCCCAGGCUGGAGUGCAGUGGUGCAAUCGCACUUCAUUGCAGCCUGGACCUCCUGAGCUCAAGUGAGCCUCCCACCUCAGCCUCUUAAGAAGCUGGGACUGCAGACACAUGCCAGCAAUACACCUGGCUAAUAUUUUAAUUUAAUUUUUUCUAGAGACAGGGUCUCACAAUGUUGCCCAGACUGGUCUCGAACUCCUGGAUCAAGCAGUUUGCCCACCUCAGCCUCCCAAAAUGUUGCAAUUACAGGCUUGAGCCUUUUUAUUAUUUAUUUAUUUAUUUAUUUAUUUAUUUAUUUAUUUAUUUUGAGAUGGAGUCUUGCUCUUUGUUGCCCAGGGUGGAGUACAAUGGCGCGACCUUGGCUAACUGCAACCUCCACCUCUCGGGUUCAAGCGAUUCUCCUGCCUCAGCCUCCUCAGCAGCUGGGACUACAGGUGCGUGCCACCACACCCGGCUAAUUUUUUGUAUUUUUUUGUAGAGACGGGGUUUCACCGUGUUAGCCAAGAUGGUCUCAAUCUCCUGACCUCGUGAUCUGCCCGCCUCGGACUCCCAAAAUGCUGGGAUUACAGGCGUGAGCCACCGUGCCCGGCCUGAGCCUUUUUAUUUUUAAAAGUGGCUUUCCAUUUUCUUUCUGUGGCAAUUUCAAGAGGCAUGGUGUGUUAUUAUCCCUGAGCUUUCUUGGGUAUUAAAAAAAGGCCAUGGGACUGGGCGCGGUGGCUCACGCCUGUAAUCCCAGCACUUUGGGAGGCUGAGGUGGGCGGACCACCUGAGGUCAGGAGUUCAAGACCAGUUUGACCAACAUGGUGAAACCCUAUCUCUACUAAAAUACAAAAAAAUUAGCCGCGCGUAGUGACAGGUGCCUGUAGUCUCAGCUACUUGGGAGGCUGAGGCGGGAGAAUUGCUUGAAACCAGGAGGCAGAGGUUGCAGUGAGCCAAGAUUGCGCCAUUGCACUUCAGCCUGGGCAACAAGAGACUCUGUCUCACAUAAAAAAAAAAAAAAAAAGAGGCCAUGGGGCUGGGCGCAGUGGCUCACACCUGUAAUGCCAACACUUUGGAAGGCCAGGGUGGGAGGAUCACUUGAGCCUAGGAGUUCCAGGCUGCAGUGAGCUAUGGUCAUGCCAUUGUACUCCAACAUGGGUGACAGAGUGAGACCUUGUCUCAAACAUAAUAAUAAUAAUAAUAGUAAUAAUAAAAUGAAAAUAGGUGGUGGCAGCUCCCACUUCAUCUUUAUUUUUUAUUUCAGAGGCACUUAUAAACCAGGAGAAUUAUGUGGAAAAGGAGUCCCCCGAUAUAACCCAAGACUCAGGAAAUUCUUGCUCCUCUUGGCAGGGAUGCAGCUGAAAUUUACCUUUAGUUAGCAUACUCCUCAGAUAGGGCAAAUGAAUUGUGCAAAGAUCAAAAUGGGGCUUUUUUUUUUUUUUUUUUU